CUAGAAGUUCGGCGGUGAACGAUGAUUCGGUUCCGCCCGGAUUCCCAUCUAAUGAUCUCAUCAAACACUCAUGGCGGACGACCAAUCUGCGGAUCCUAUCCUCGAUUGGAGUCCCAUUCGUUCUUAGGUCCAGAGAACGCAUCUGAUACAAGGUAGCAUCUAUGAUCGCGAACCUUUUGAACUAUUCCGAUUUGUCUUUUGUUCUUUUUUUGCCAAAGUUUCAUUGAACAAUUUGUGCCUGAAUGUUCGCAACUCCUAAUUCUUCGAGAUUAACGUUUUCAUGUGGUAAAAUUAAACACCGUAUCACGAGUCCUUCAGAUUGAAUUAAGCGCGAUUACAAGUAAUGAACAGUCGAGUCCAGCUUCCUUCAGUUUACAGAUGUUCAAUUUCUUCGUUCUAUUGAGUCUUCUGAACCUAAAUUAAUUUACAGUCGACUUGAUAUCUCGUUUGCUUUAGGUUUAAUCUUAAAUCUUAAAAAAAAACUACAAAUAUCUAGAAGUGGCUCCCUUAUCAAGAACAGAAGUGUAGCAAGAGGUCAAUCUUUUAUCCAAACUGCAGUCUUGAUUCUUAAUUUUUGCAGUUACUUCAUUGUUCAUGAAACAACCCUUUAACCAAUCUGUUUUAUGAAAUUGUUAGAAUGGUUACAAGCUUCAUUUGAAGCAAUUCAUAAUACCCUAAAGAAAAUGCCAUGUGUAAUCUCCUUGAGUUUACAGAUGUUUGAACUGCAAUACUGACAUAUAUGUGCAAGCAAAAGACUAUGAAAUAUGCAUGUUCAUAUGGAAUUCAUAUCUGAUUUUUAAACUAUUCUAUUGGAUUUUCUUAUGAUACAGAAGCAAAGUAACUGAAAAGUUGUUUAGAUCUUCCUUUCUUUAAUUCUCUGCAUGAAAUUUUGUCCCAAAAAACCACAUCUUUAUGUGAUGGUGCAGUUUAUGUGAUUAUGUCAAUCUUUCUGGAUGCAUACCUACCACAUGGAUUCAAGUCUAUAUGAGAUAAUGACCGAUUUUGAUAUUGCACUAGCAUAAAAAUUGAAAUGACGUGUCUGAGGUAACUAGAUGUGGCAUCUUUAUCAUCUUUUUAGGAAUAAUAAUAUAAGAUAACAAGAUAAAUCCACAUACAUCAACCAUGUUUAUUUCAUACGAAAGUAUUCUAUUUGUAGAACUACUUGGAUACCAUUGACUUCUGUUAUGAUAUCUUUUAUCCAACACUUGUUCUCUUUACUUAUGACCUCAUAGUCAAUAAUAAACAUUUGGUUGUUGAUACCUAUUUGGUAUGUCCAUUUUCUAUAUUUAACAUGUAUGUGUACCCUUGUAGGCCAAUGUAAUUAUGCAACACACACAUAGUUAAAUACAAGGUUAUCGUGCUAUGUCCAUAGGAGAACUUUAGAAGUUUCUAUUAAUUCAAUAACAUUAGGGGUUACAAGAACAUUAGGGGUUACAAGAUAUACGAGUAAACAUGUACACUAGCCAAGGCCCACAAAACCCAAAUGGUCCUUUGUAAAAGCCAUUGCUUAGUCACAUUAGCAGCAAUCAGAUUCCACAACUUAACAAAUCGGUCCCACACUCCCACUACUAAUAUGAGGAGGUAAAGCACAAUGCAAUCAGAUUCCAUAACUAAACAAAUCGGUCUCACUACCAAUAUGAGGUAAAUCACAAUGCAAUUAGAUUCCACAACUUAACAAAUCGGUCCUACUACUAAUAUGAUGAGGUAAAUCACAAUGCAAUCAGAUUCCACAACUUAACAAAUCGGUCCCACUACCAAUAUGAGGUAAAUCACAAUGCAAUCAAUAACUUAACAAAUCGGUCCCACUACUAAUAUGAGGAGGUAAAUCACAAUGCAAUCAGAUUCCACAACUUAACAAAUCGUCCUACUACCAAUAUGAGGAGGUAAAUCACAAUGCUUCCUGAAUAAAAAAAAAAAGAGAGAUGAUGCCCUCGAACAUGUGACUUUAUUUAUAGAUUCUCACCUCCUUACUGUCAGAACAAAAAAAAUUUAUUGCGCACGUGUGUCAAAAAGCAAUUCCGUAACUAAUUUAUAACCACCAUGAUUUACUGGAUACGUUACUUCAAGAUGACUUGAUAAAACGGUUCCAAAAGGGUCAAUUAAAAUGGUAAAUUUGUGCAAGAAACUUUAGCGGUGAAGUUGAUUGGUAUGAACAGUAGUGACGGUAGUUCCUGGAAAAGUAGGGGCAAUGUUUUUCUUCCUAGAAAGGUAAGGUUCUUUUCAUAAAAUCACAAUCAACCAACAAUAAAAAGCUUCUUUUCUUUUCUAAAUGAUGAUGAUGAUUAUAAAUUAAAGUUGUUUUAUGGGAGAAUAGAAACUCACUUCACAUCCCCCUUCCCUUUUUUCUUUCUUUCUUUCUUCAAUCCUUUUGCCCCCACUCAUGAUUUGGUCUCUAUGGUCAUUGCUGUGUCCCAAACCUUUUGCUUGUCUCAAUAGAAAGAAAAGGAAUAUUUAAUCUUGUCUGUUUAAACCUCAUUAUGAUUCUGCCUUCUCUCUUUCAUAUCACAUGUACUAGAAUAUAUUAUUUUAGAUGCAUUUUAGUAUCAUAAAUAACCAAAAAUUCUUCGUCUUUUUCUUUUUAAAUGUC
Molecule: long non-coding RNA, 2587 nt
Filed under: Lactuca sativa (garden lettuce)
Lineage: Eukaryota; Viridiplantae; Streptophyta; Magnoliopsida; Asterales; Asteraceae
Description: long non-coding RNA (LSAT_LNC004923)
Source: RNAcentral